Molecule: long non-coding RNA, 537 nt
Organism: Hipposideros armiger (great roundleaf bat)
Lineage: Eukaryota; Metazoa; Chordata; Mammalia; Chiroptera; Hipposideridae
Exons: 3
Source: RefSeq, a predicted model, not a curated record
CCUCCCUCCCUUUUCGGCCUCUGCUCGCGACUUGGCUCAGUCCAGUUCAAAGAUGCUGACACACUUCAGGGCUGGUGCAUGAAAGAAGCUUUUCACACGUAAAUAAGGUGUAUUUGAACAUGUGACAGUUGGUAAUAUACAAAGAAGUUUUUGCUUUCUCCCUUUCAUGGUAUCAGGAAUAAAUUUUGAGAAGGUGCCAAAUAUCGGUAAGAAUAUAUGUCUGCCCCUUAGGGAAUUUCCAUAGAAUACAAUUCCAUUACUUAAAGUUUUUUUACCAUUCGGCCUACAGCUUGACACAGUAACUAGACUACCUGUUCUACAACUAUCUUAAGACAACUUUGUCAACUGUGCUUUAAUUUACAAAGAUUAUUUUAAAAUUCCAUUAUUUUGGCUGCACUAAAGAUUAUAUGUUCCUAAGGGGAGGGGUUGGUUGCAAAGGGGCAUGAGGGAGUUUUGAGAAACUGUUUUACAUUUUGAUUAUGGUGGUAAAUUGCAUUGGUCAAAUUUGGAGUGAGUUUUACUGAAUGCAAAUUAUGC